Molecule: ribosomal RNA, 391 nt
Filed under: uncultured bacterium
Lineage: Bacteria
Description: bacterial SSU rRNA
Rfam family: Bacterial small subunit ribosomal RNA
Source: RNAcentral
AUUGAACGCUGGCGGCAUGCCUUACACAUGCAAGUCGAACGGCAGCACGGGAGCAAUCCUGGUGGCGAGUGGCGAACGGGUGAGUAAUAUAUCGGAACGUGCCCAGUCGUGGGGAUAACGUAGCGAAAGCUACGCUAAUACCGCAUACGAUCUAUGGAUGAAAGCGGGGGAUCGCAAGACCUCGCGCGAUUGGAGCGGCCGAUAUCAGAUUAGGUAGUUGGUGAGGUAAAGGCUCACCAAGCCGACGAUCUGUAGCUGGUCUGAGAGGACGACCAGCCACACUGGGACUGAGACACGGCCCAGACUCCUACGGGAGGCAGCAGUGGGGGAAUUUUUGGACAAUGGGCGCAAGCCUGAUCCAGCAAUGCCGCGUGCAGGAUGAAGGCCCUUC